CCACUCCCUCCAACCAAAUACCCUCUAAGCUCACAAGAGUGCCCAAGUGUGAUUAGCAGGUUGCAUGCAUUUUAACAGGUAAAACCUCAAUUUGUAUGGCAAAGUUGAGAUCCUUCACAUUUGUAUCAACUGAUCGCAGAAUCCUGUCAUCACAGACAAGCCUCCAACAGCUCAUGAUAUUGCUAUUAUACGAUGCAGUAUGCUGUGACUGGGAAAAAUAACAGAAGCAAUCUAUGAAACCAAACUGGAGUACAGAGCAGCAGCAUGUAGUUGACAUGC
This 279-nucleotide long non-coding RNA is filed under the name Elaeis guineensis (African oil palm). Its description in RNAcentral is "long non-coding RNA (EGUI_LNC077046)". Lineage: Eukaryota; Viridiplantae; Streptophyta; Magnoliopsida; Arecales; Arecaceae. The record is from RNAcentral.